GCUGACGUAGCUCAGCUGGCAGAGCACUUCACUCGUAAUGAAGGGGUCGGGGGUUCGAAUCCCUCCGUCAGCACCA
This 76-nucleotide transfer RNA is filed under the name Planifilum fimeticola. RNAcentral describes it as "tRNA-Thr". It matches the Rfam family "tRNA". Rfam says of the family: Transfer RNA (tRNA) molecules are approximately 80 nucleotides in length. Their secondary structure includes four short double-helical elements and three loops (D, anti-codon, and T loops). Further hydrogen bonds mediate the characteristic L-shaped molecular structure. tRNAs have two regions of fundamental functional importance: the anti-codon, which is responsible for specific mRNA codon recognition, and the 3' end, to which the tRNAs corresponding amino acid is attached (by aminoacyl-tRNA synthetases). tRNAs cope with the degeneracy of the genetic code in two manners: having more than one tRNA (with a specific anti-codon) for a particular amino acid; and 'wobble' base-pairing, i.e. permitting non-standard base-pairing at the 3rd anti-codon position. The record is from RNAcentral. Lineage: Bacteria; Bacillati; Bacillota; Bacilli; Caryophanales; Thermoactinomycetaceae. RNAcentral also lists the same sequence under 3 other names.